UACGUAGGGUGCGAGCGUUGUCCGGAAUUAUUGGGCGUAAAGAGCUCGUAGGCGGCUUGUCGCGUCGGAUGUGAAAGCCCGGGGCUUAACUCCGGGUCUGCAUUCGAUACGGGCAGGCUAGAGUUCGGUAGGGGAGAUCGGAAUUCCUGGUGUAGCGGUGGAAUGCGCAGAUAUCAGGAGGAACACCGAUGGCGAAGGCAGAUCUCUGGGCCGUAACUGACGCUGAGGAGCGAAAGCGUGGGGAGCAAAUAGG
Molecule: ribosomal RNA, 253 nt
Filed under: uncultured bacterium
Lineage: Bacteria
Description: partial 16S ribosomal RNA
Rfam family: Bacterial small subunit ribosomal RNA
Source: RNAcentral